This 300-nucleotide ribosomal RNA is filed under the name uncultured bacterium. Its description in RNAcentral is "bacterial SSU rRNA". It matches the Rfam family "Bacterial small subunit ribosomal RNA", at positions 496 to 795 of the family's 1533-position model. The record is from RNAcentral.
ACGAAGUCCGGGCCUGCAGCGAGGGUAAUACGAAGGGGGUAAACGUUAUCCUGAUUUAUGUGGUUUAAAGUGUACUUAAGCGGAGCGAGAAUUCAGAGGUUAAAGCUCACAGCUUAACUGUGAAAGUGCCGUUGAUACUGUAUGUCUUGAGUAAAUUUGAAGUGGCUGGAAUAAGUAGUGUAGCGGUGAAAUGCAUAGAUAUUACUUAGAACACCAAUUGCGAAGGCAGGUCACUAAGAUUUAACUGACGCUGAGGGACGAAAGCGUGGGGAGCGAACAGGAUUAGAUACCCCAGUAGUC